GACGUAGGAUGCAAGCGUUAUCCGGAUUCAUUGGGUUUAAAGGGAGCGUAGGUGGUCUUAUAAGUCAGUGGUGAAAUCUCGCAGCUUAACUGCGAAACUGCCAUUGAUACUGUAGGACUUGAGUAUAGUUGCUGUGGGCGGAAUAUGACAUGUAGUGGUGAAAUACUUAGAGAUGUCAUAGAACACCGAUUGCGAAGGCAGCUCACAAAACUAUAACUGACACUGAGGCUCGAAAGUGCGGGGAUCAAACAGG
RNAcentral lists this ribosomal RNA (253 nucleotides) under uncultured bacterium. RNAcentral's name for it is "partial 16S ribosomal RNA". It matches the Rfam family "Bacterial small subunit ribosomal RNA", at positions 524 to 776 of the family's 1533-position model. The record is from RNAcentral.